CACGUAGGGUGCGAGCGUUGUCCGGAAUUAUUGGGCGUAAAGAGCUCGUAGGCGGUCCGUCACGUCGGAUGUGAAAUUCCAGGGCUCAACCCUGGACCUGCAUUCGAUACGGGCGGACUAGAGUUCGGUAGGGGAGACUGGAAUUCCUGGUGUAGCGGUGAAAUGCGCAGAUAUCAGGAGGAACACCGGUGGCGAAGGCGGUUCUCUGGGCCUGUACUGACGCUGAGGAACGAAAGCGUGGGGAGCGAACAGG
RNAcentral lists this ribosomal RNA (253 nucleotides) under uncultured bacterium. RNAcentral describes it as "partial 16S ribosomal RNA". It matches the Rfam family "Bacterial small subunit ribosomal RNA", at positions 524 to 776 of the family's 1533-position model. The record is from RNAcentral.